UAGGGAAUUUUCGUCAAUGGGCGCAAGCCUGAACGAGCGAUGCCGCGUGAGUGAAGAAGGCCUUCGGGUCGUAAAGCUCUGUUGCGGGGGAAAAAAGGCAGCAUCAGGAAAUGGGUGCUGACUGAUGGUGCCCCGCCAGAAAGUCACGGCUAACUACGUGCCAGCAGCCGCGGUAAUACGUAGGUGGCGAGCGUUAUCCGGAAUGAUUGGGCGUAAAGGGUGCGCAGGCGGUCCUGCAAGUCUGGAGUGAAACGCAUGAGCUCAACUCAUGCAUGGCUUUGGAAACUGGAGGACUGGAGAGCAGGAGAGGGCGGUGGAACUCCAUGUGUAGCGGUAAAAUGCGUAGAUAUAUGGAAGAACACCAGUGGCGAAGGCGGCCGCCUGGCCUGUUGCUGACGCUGAGGCACGAAAGCGUGGGGAGCAAAUAGG
RNAcentral lists this ribosomal RNA (429 nucleotides) under bacterium. RNAcentral describes it as "partial 16S ribosomal RNA". It matches the Rfam family "Bacterial small subunit ribosomal RNA", at positions 355 to 776 of the family's 1533-position model. The record is from RNAcentral. RNAcentral also lists the same sequence under 1 other name.